GACGAACGCUGGCGGCGUGCUUAACACAUGCAAGUCGAACGGAAAGGCCCUGCUUUUGUGGGGUGCUCGAGUGGCGAACGGGUGAGUAACACGUGAGUAACCUGCCCUUGACUUUGGGAUAACUUCAGGAAACUGGGGCUAAUACCGGAUAGGAGCUCCUGCUGCAUGGUGGGGGUUGGAAAGUUUCGGCGGUUGGGGAUGGACUCGCGGCUUAUCAGCUUGUUGGUGGGGUAGUGGCUUACCAAGGCUUUGACGGGUAGCCGGCCUGAGAGGGUGACCGGCCACAUUGGGACUGAGAUACGGCCCAGAGUCCUACGGGAGACAGCAGUGGGGAAUAUUGCACAAUGGGCGGAAGCCUGAUGCAGCAGCGCCGCGUGCGGAAUGACGGCCUUCGGGUUGUAAACCGCUUUCGCCUGUUACGAAGCGUGAGUGACGGUAAUGGGUAAAGAAGCACCGGCUAACUACGUG
Molecule: ribosomal RNA, 468 nt
Filed under: uncultured bacterium
Lineage: Bacteria
Description: partial 16S ribosomal RNA
Rfam family: Bacterial small subunit ribosomal RNA
Source: RNAcentral